Molecule: unclassified non-coding RNA, 385 nt
Filed under: soil metagenome
Description: partial contains 5.8S ribosomal RNA, internal transcribed spacer 2, and large subunit ribosomal RNA
Rfam family: 5.8S ribosomal RNA (bases 1-120)
Source: RNAcentral
GAUGAAGAACGCAGCGAAAUGCGAUAAGUAAUGUGAAUUGCAGAAUUCAGUGAAUCAUCGAAUCUUUGAACGCACCUUGCACCCUUUGGUAUUCCGAAGGGUAUGCUCGUUUGAGUGUCAUUGUACUCUCACACUCCCAAUUGCUUUGGAUUGGGAGCGGUGGACUUGGGUGUUGCUGCUUGACUGAGGCUCACCUGAAAUAUGUUAGUGCACCUCUUGAUUGGACAUAGUACGGCGUGAUAAGUGUCUUCGCCGGCUCCUCGCAAAGAGGGUGGCCGAUCGGGAGCUCUGUUGCUUCAAACUGUCUUCGGACAAUCUUCUGGCGACUUGACCUCAAAUCGAGUAGGACUACCCGCUGAACUUAAGCAUAUCAAUAAGCGGAGGA